RNAcentral lists this ribosomal RNA (524 nucleotides) under uncultured bacterium. RNAcentral describes it as "bacterial SSU rRNA". It matches the Rfam family "Bacterial small subunit ribosomal RNA", at positions 355 to 896 of the family's 1533-position model. The record is from RNAcentral.
UGGGGAAUUUUGCGCAAUGGGCGAAAGCCUGACGCAGCCAUACCGCGUGAGUGAAGAAGGCCUUUGGGUCGUAAAGCUCUUUUCUUGGGAAGAUAAUGACCGUGCUUUAAGAAUAAACAUCUGAUAACUCCUUGCCAACAACCACCGUAAUACUCAGGGUGCAAGCGUUGUUCAGAUUUAAUGGGGCUAAAGGGCACCUAAGUUACUGAGCAUAUUAAGGGUGAAAUCCCGGUGCUCAACUCCAGAACUGCUCUUAAAACUGCUCAUCUAAACAUCGUUCGAUGCUGGUGGAAUUCCAUGUGAAAAAGUGAAAUUCAAAUAUAUCUGGAGGAACAACGUUGGUAAAUGUGUCCAGCAAGAACUAUGCUGACGGUGACGUGCUGAAGCGUGACUAACGAUCAGGAUUAAAUGCCCUGGUAGUCCACGCCAUUAACGAUGAUGACCGGCUGUUUGGAUAAUCGAGAAUCCUAGUGGUACAGCUAAUUCAAUCAUUGUGCCGCCUGGUUAGUACGGUCGCUAGACUA